Molecule: ribosomal RNA, 381 nt
Filed under: uncultured archaeon
Lineage: Archaea
Description: bacterial SSU rRNA
Rfam family: Archaeal small subunit ribosomal RNA
Source: RNAcentral
GCGCGAAACCUUUACACUGCAYGAAGGUGCGAUAAGGGGACUCCGAGUGCGAGGGCAUACAGUCCUCGCUAUUGUGUACCGUAGGGUGGUACACGACCAAGAGCUGGGCAAGACCGGUGCCAGCCGCCGCGGUAAUACCGGCAGCUCGAGUGAUGGCCGAUUUUAUUGGGCCUAAAGCGUCCGUAGCUGGCCCUGCAAGUCCGUCGGGAAAUCCACUCGCCUAACGAGUGGGCGUCCGGCGGAAACUACAGGGCUUGGGACCGGAAGACUUGAGGGGUACGUCUGGGGUAGGAGUGAAAUCCUGUAAUCCUGGACGGACCGCCGAUGGCGAAAGCACCUCAAGACGACGGAUCCGACAGUGAGGGACGAAAGCUAGGGUCU